GGAUGCGAUCAUACCAGCACUAAUGCACCGGAUCCCAUCAGAACUCCGAAGUUAAGCGUGCUUGGGCGAGAGUAGUACUAGGAUGGGUGACCCCCUGGGAAGUCCUCGUUGUUGCAUCCC
This 120-nucleotide ribosomal RNA is filed under the name Ipomoea nil (Japanese morning glory). Lineage: Eukaryota; Viridiplantae; Streptophyta; Magnoliopsida; Solanales; Convolvulaceae. The record is from RNAcentral.